RNAcentral lists this ribosomal RNA (253 nucleotides) under uncultured bacterium. Its description in RNAcentral is "partial 16S ribosomal RNA". It matches the Rfam family "Bacterial small subunit ribosomal RNA", at positions 524 to 776 of the family's 1533-position model. The record is from RNAcentral.
UACGUAGGGUGCAAGCGUUGUCCGGAGUUAUUGGGCGUAAAGAGCUCGUAGGCGGUUUGUUGCGUCGGCUGUGAAAUCCCGAGGCUCAACCUCGGGUCUGCAGUCGAUACGAGCAAACUAGAGUGUUGCAGGGGAGACUGGAAUUCCUGGUGUAGCGGUGAAAUGCGCAGAUAUCAGGAGGAACACCGAUGGCGAAGGCAGGUCUCUGGGCCACUACUGACGCUGAGAAGCGAAAGCAUGGAGAGCGAACAGG